UACAGAGGGUGCGAGCGUUGUUCGGAAUUAUUGGGCGUAAAGGGCGCGUAGGCGGCGCGGUAUGUCACCUGUGAAAUCUCCUGGCUCAACUGGGAGCUUGCAGGCGAAACUGCCGUGCUGGAGUGUGGGAGAGGUGCGUGGAAUUCCUGGUGUAGCGGUGAAAUGCGUAGAUAUCAGGAGGAACACCAGUGGCGAAGGCGACUUCCUGGCCUGUUCUUGACGCUGAGGCGCGAAAGCUAGGGGAGCAAACGGG
This 253-nucleotide ribosomal RNA is filed under the name uncultured bacterium. RNAcentral's name for it is "partial 16S ribosomal RNA". It matches the Rfam family "Bacterial small subunit ribosomal RNA", at positions 524 to 776 of the family's 1533-position model. The record is from RNAcentral.